This 460-nucleotide ribosomal RNA is filed under the name uncultured bacterium. RNAcentral describes it as "partial 16S ribosomal RNA". It matches the Rfam family "Bacterial small subunit ribosomal RNA", at positions 338 to 795 of the family's 1533-position model. The record is from RNAcentral.
CCUACGGGAGGCAGCAGUGAGGAAUAUUGGUCAAUGGGUGUAAGCCUGAACCAGCCAAGUCGCGUGAGGGAUGAAGGUUCUAUGGAUCGUAAACCUCUUUUAUAAGGGAAUAAAGUGUGGGACGUGUCCUGUUUUGUAUGUACCUUAUGAAUAAGGAUCGGCUAACUCCGUGCCAGCAGCCGCGGUAAUACGGAGGAUCCGAGCGUUAUCCGGAUUUAUUGGGUUUAAAGGGUGCGUAGGCGGCCUUUUAAGUCAGCGGUGAAAGUCUGUGGCUCAACCCUAGAAUUGCCGUUGAAACUGGGAGGCGUGAUGAUGUUUGAGGCAGGCGGAAUGCGGGGUGGAGCGGUGAAAUGCUUAGAUAUCACGCAGAACCCCGAUGGCGAAGGCAGCCUGCCAAGCCAUGACUGACGCUGAUGCACGAAAGCGUGGGGAUCAAACAGGAUUAGAUACCCCAGUAGUC